This 253-nucleotide ribosomal RNA is filed under the name uncultured bacterium. RNAcentral's name for it is "partial 16S ribosomal RNA". It matches the Rfam family "Bacterial small subunit ribosomal RNA", at positions 524 to 776 of the family's 1533-position model. The record is from RNAcentral.
UACGGGGGGAGCAAGCGUUGUUCGGAUUUACUGGGCGUAAAGGGCGCGUAGGCGGCGUGACAAGUCACUUGUGAAAUCUCCGGGCUUAACCCGGAGCGGCCAAGUGAUACUGUCGUGCUAGAGUGCGGAAGGGGCUACUGGAAUUCUCGGUGUAGCGGUGAAAUGCGUAGAUAUCGGGAGGAACAUCAGUGGCGAAGGCGGCGAUCUGGGAAGUUACUGACGCUGAGGUGCGAAAGCGUGGGGAGCAAACAGG